Molecule: long non-coding RNA, 2535 nt
Filed under: Equus caballus (horse)
Lineage: Eukaryota; Metazoa; Chordata; Mammalia; Perissodactyla; Equidae
Description: lncRNA (ENSECAG00000038773.2)
Rfam family: Small nucleolar RNA SNORA71 (bases 2320-2452)
Source: RNAcentral
UGGGACUUCACAAUCCACGCUCUCCCUGAGGACACCUCUCAUGAACGCGGAUCAGCAGUCACGUGACACUCCUGCAGGGCACAAGAAGCCAGCACAUGAUCUGCCCACUUGGCACUGCUUACAGCAUGCCCAGAAACCACUCUGCUCACCAAGAGGAAAACCCCGGGGGAAUCCAGGUGUCAGGAGGUGAAUGCACUGACAGCCUGUCUCCCUCCAUCCUCAUGCUCGGUCACUGCCUAGUCACCCAAGGCUGUCUCGUUUGGAAGGGACACAUAUGGAUGUCCUGAAUGCAAGGAAAACCUCCCAACUUUUCCUUUGCCUGCAUUACCAACAACCAGGGCACAGGCAGGCUGUAAUCACUUCACACAGGGGCAGAAAAGGACUCAGCACUGCUGAAAUUGGAGACUAGUGUCAGAAAACCACAGGUGUGGCUCCACAACCAACCCACGCAUUCCCCGAAGCAGGACCCACUCUCACUACCCCUUCUGAAAGCCUCACAGAAACCAGGAGCCAAGGCAGAGAGCACUCAAUGAGAUCCCAGGGGACAGGGGUCAUCCAAAAGGUGGCAGGGGGAGGAGGUGUGGGAAAGCUCCAGGGUUUGGAAGGGACAGGAUGGGCCCUCCAAACACAGAGAAAGGCUUUCAGCACUUCCUCUCCCUGCACAAUCAAUGACCAGGGCACAGGCAGCCCACAUCACUUUCGAAUGCAGGGGCACAAGCGGGCAGAAGGCGAGCCAGGAAGAGAAGCCCACGUUAGCCCACUGUCCCCCUAGGCAAGCUCAGAACCCCGAGCGCUAUCAGAGCUUCAUAGAAAGAUGCCAGCUCCCAGCAUCAACACAGUCCACAGGAGGAACAGCUUCUGGUAAACAUGCCUCAGUUCUUUAUUCACCCCACAAAUACUGACUGAGCACCUACUGGGCGCCAAGCACUGUGGCUUCAAAAACAAAGAAAAACACAGACAAGGCCUCUGUCCUCCCAGAGCUCCUGCGGUUUCCCUACCUGAAGGAAAGGAAAGCUCAGGAGCAUGAAGUAACUCGCCCCAGGAUACCCGGGUAACGAGGAGCGGAGUCCGGAUCUGGGCUCAGGCCUUUCUGACCCCAAACUCAGCCCCCCUACUACACCAGGCCUCCUCCUGCACAAGGGCUUCGAACACAGUUCUCAGAAGUCACCUGAGCCCCAGGACCACCCCCUCUGCGGGCAGCAGGAAGCCACCGAGCCCCCUUCAAGGUGCUCAGGAGCCGCAGCUCUCACCAGGGCACAGCCUCAGCCGCUGGACACGGAGGGCGCGUCGGGCAGCGCGGGUCAGGGCCCCGCAGGAGAGCAGGGGGCGCCGGCGGACGCAGAGCCCGCUCAGCCGUCCGAGGCCGAGCUCGCGGAGAGAUGGGACCUCGGCCUCGGACGGCUGAGCGGGCUCUGCGUCCGCCGGCGCCCCCUGCUCUCCUGCGGGGCUCUGACCCGCGCUGCCCGACGCGCCCUCCGUGUCCAGCGACUGAGGCUGUGCCCUGGCUCAGCGCCUGGUGGGGGUCCAGUGUUCACCAGUUGUGAACAAAUGCACAAGAGAGAAGAAAAGGAGAGACACAUCCUUGUAAGGUGGCAUGGCCUCAUCACGUUGUGGAAGAUCAGAGAAAGACUACGUGGGAGCCAACCAGAGGGAGAGGGGGCAGCUCGGUGCAGAGGGGCCCUUGAGAGGUGUCUCCAUCCUGUCAGGAAGCAGCUGGACCACAGUGCUCCCAAGGUGAGGUCUGUUCUCUGGAAAUCUGGGGCUUUGCAUCCCACAGGCGCAUGCAGGUUCCCUGGGUGUGAUGUCGUCGGGGAAGUAGAUAGAGGAGACAGGAGGGUGGCUCUGUCCUGGCCCUCAAUUUUACUCUCUGUGACCUUUGAGAAUGCACCUGCUUCCUCUUUAUGUGCUUGGUUCUGAGAGCCCUUGGGGAGCCCUUCCUCAAAUUGAUCUGUUGGCAUCAGAAUGGCUGAAUCUAAAGCAGGAAGGAUUUUGGCAUAUUCGCCUGUGCCCGGGUCUCAGUCACUUCUCUGCCCCUUCUUAGCUCUGGGACCUUCUCUUAUCCCUGGUCUCAUCACCCAGAAAGCAGGAAUACAAUGAGGCCAUUUUUCUUAGGAUCGCAUAGCCCCUGUCUUUUACAACCCAACAACUCUAUCGCUUUUCUUUCAGAGGUGUCCACCCUUUCCUCUCCUGUCUGGGCCAAGUUGAAGGAAUUUUUCUGCAGGAUUGAAGCAAUUACGUGGUGCUGUGCUCAACUAGGCUGACUCCUCCAGGCCUCUGCCACUGGCCUCCUUUUUCAGCAAGCCCUCUGUCCUUUUCUGCCUCUGCAUUUGGAAGUGAUCACAGCUGCCCGUGUCCUGUUCAUUGGUAGUGCAGACAGAGGAAACGUGGAGAGGAUUGUCACAUGUUUGGAGGGUCCACAUCCUCCCCUUCCAGAUCUGGGAGCUUUUCCACAUUCCUACUUCUCUUCUACACACACCUUGGGCCUCCAGGGCCUUGAGGGCUGUCAUGUGUGUGUCGGUGUCAUUGCUGGGGCUU